Molecule: ribosomal RNA, 471 nt
Filed under: uncultured bacterium
Lineage: Bacteria
Description: bacterial SSU rRNA
Rfam family: Bacterial small subunit ribosomal RNA
Source: RNAcentral
UAGGGAAUUUUCCACAAUGGACGAAAGUCUGAUCCAGCCAUGCCGCGUGUGUGAAGAAGGUCUUCGGAUUGUAAAGCACUUUAAGUUGGGAGGAAGGGUUGUAGAUUAAUGCUCUGCAAUUUUGACGUUACCGACAGAAUAAGCACCGGCUAACUCUGUGCCAGCAGCCGCGGUAAUACAGAGGGUGCAAGCGUUAAUCGGAAUUACUGGGCGUAAAGCGCGCGUAGGUGGUUUGUUAAGUUGGAUGUGAAAUCCCCGGGCUCAACCUGGGAACUGCAUCCAAACUGGCAAGCUAGAGUAUGGUAGAGGGUGGUGGAAUUUCCUGUGUAGCGGUGAAAUGCGUAGAUAUAGGAAGGAACACCAGUGGCGAAGGCGACCACCUGGACUGAUACUGACACUGAGGUGCGAAAGCGUGGGGAGCAAACAGGAUUAGAUACCCCCGUAGUCCCUGAGCGGGCUGGCAAGGCGCAU